This 446-nucleotide ribosomal RNA is filed under the name uncultured bacterium. RNAcentral describes it as "bacterial SSU rRNA". It matches the Rfam family "Bacterial small subunit ribosomal RNA", at positions 329 to 792 of the family's 1533-position model. The record is from RNAcentral.
AGCCAGACUCCUACGGGAGGCAGCAGUGGGGAAUAUUGCACAAUGGGGGAAACCCUGAUGCAGCGACGCCGCGUGAGUGAAGAAGUAUUUCGGUAUGUAAGGCUCUAUCAGCAGGGAAGAAAAUGACGGUACCUGACUAAGAAGCCCCGGCUAACUACGUGCCAGCAGCCGCGGUAAUACGUAGGGGGCAAGCGUUAUCCGGAUUUACUGGGUGUAAAGGGAGCGUAGACGGCAUGGCAAGUCAGAUGUGAAAGCCCGGGGCUCAACCCCGGGACUGCAUUUGAAACUGUCAGGCUGGAGUGCAGGAGAGGUAAGUGGAAUUCCUAGUGUAGCGGUGAAAUGCGUAGAUAUUAGGAGGAACACCAGUGGCGAAGGCGGCUUACUGGACUGUAACUGACGUUGAGGCUCGAAAGCGUGGGGAGCAAACAGGAUUAGAUACCCUCGUA